This 253-nucleotide ribosomal RNA is filed under the name uncultured bacterium. RNAcentral's name for it is "partial 16S ribosomal RNA". It matches the Rfam family "Bacterial small subunit ribosomal RNA", at positions 524 to 776 of the family's 1533-position model. The record is from RNAcentral.
UACAGAGGUCUCAAGCGUUGUUCGGAUUCAUUGGGCGUAAAGGGUGCGUAGGCGGCGCGGUAAGUCGGGUGUGAAAUCUCGGAGCUUAACUCCGAAACUGCAUUCGAUACUGCGGUGCUUGAGGACUGGAGAGGAGACUGGAAUUCAUGGUGUAGCAGUGAAAUGCGUAGAGAUCAUGAGGAGCACCAGUGGCGAAGGCGGCUCACUGGCCCGGUACUGACGCUGAGGUGCGAAAGCGUGGGGAGCAAACAGG